Molecule: ribosomal RNA, 510 nt
Filed under: uncultured bacterium
Lineage: Bacteria
Description: partial 16S ribosomal RNA
Rfam family: Bacterial small subunit ribosomal RNA
Source: RNAcentral
GACGAACGCUGGCGGCGUGCUUAACACAUGCAAGUCGAACGAAGAGCGAUGGAAGCUUGCUUCUAUCAAUCUUAGUGGCGAACGGGUGAGUAACGCGUAAUCAACCUGCCCUUCAGAGGGGGACAACAGUUGGAAACGACUGCUAAUACCGCAUACGAUCUAAUCUCGGCAUCGAGGAUGGAUGAAAGGUGGCCUCUACGUGUAAGCUAUCACUGAAGGAGGGGAUUGCGUCUGAUUAGCUAGUUGGAGGGGUAACGGCCCACCAAGGCGAUGAUCAGUAGCCGGUCUGAGAGGAUGAACGGCCACAUUGGGACUGAGACACGGCCCAGACUCCUACGGGAGGGAGCAGUGGGGAAUCUUCCGCAAUGGACGAAAGUCUGACGGAGCAACGCCGCGUGAGUGAUGACGGCCUUCGGGUUGUAAAGCUCUGUUAAUCGGGACGAAAGGCCUUCUUGCGAAUAGUGAGAAGGAUUGACGGUACCGGAAGAGAAAGCCACGGCUAACUACGUG